Molecule: unclassified non-coding RNA, 1345 nt
Filed under: Sipha flava (yellow sugarcane aphid)
Lineage: Eukaryota; Metazoa; Arthropoda; Insecta; Hemiptera; Aphididae
Description: uncharacterized LOC112684508, transcript variant X5
Source: RNAcentral
GCGCCGCCGUGACGUUUCGCCCGCACGUGACGUCACCGAUCGGUCUUCCGUUUACCUUACGUCCCCGUCGAACGGUUUAAAUGCCCCAAUCUUUCUCAUGGUUCCCAACUCGAUAGGUAGGCAGGUCGUAGGCAUAGGUCCCGAUAGGUCCCCGUAGGUCCAGGUUUGAUUCUGAGCCAUAGCCGCCCGGCUUCUUUGCAGGAUUUUCCGCUGCCGCCGUCGAUUCGUACGGGCGUCGUUUCCGCUCCCGCGGAUCUGUUUUCGUUUUCCGUCCGUCGCGUCCGAUUUUCGCCGCCGCCGUGUCUUAUCGACGGGAGUGUGUUGAUCCCGCUCGCGGUGUUUUCUUUUCUAUUCAUUUUCCGCCGUCCGUCAAGUCCGUUUUUUUCUUUUCGUUUCAAACUUUUUUUUUGUGAAAUCGUUUUCAUCGCUUCAAUCGUAUUAUUUAAUACAUGUUAUUACAUAUUCGAUUUGUUUUACCGAAAAUUAUUUAUCCGUUUUUCUUUACUCAUGUUGAUUUGAUGUGUAACGUUAUUGUUGAACGCUUACACACGGCUGUGAAACGAAGAAAACAUAAUGCGUUUAAAAUAUAGUUUGUUUUUUUAUCAGCGUUAAGAAUUGAAUUCAAAGGGUCUUCGGUGCUAACGAUACUGUUCAAAACGUUCACAGCUAUAAAACAACGAGUACUCGUUAUGAGUGUUACAACAUCAGUCGUUACACUUGGACGAAAGGAAAUUAAAACUUUUGUGAUGUAAUGUAAAUAAGAAAACCCGAUUGAUUUGAUGUGAAAUGCUGUAAUGAUAUUAUAAAAUGCACACACAGCUAUAAAAUAAUGAAGUAAACAUGGGAGAUGUCUGUUGUAUGUUUUCAUUAAACAUUUUCUUUGUUAAGGAAUAAUGCAGUUACUACUUCGGUACUAAUGAUUAACUAAUAAAAACAAACACAACUAUAAACUAAAGAAAACAUGGGAGAGAGCUGUUGAAUGUUUUCGUUGCACUUUAUUCUUUGGAAUGGAAUAGAAUUCAACGUGUUAUUGGUGCUAAUGAUAAUAUUCAAAUCAAACCCAGCUAUAAAAUAAAGAAAACUUGGUAUGUAUUUAUACAAUAUUUAACGCUCAAGUUCCUCUAUGAUAUAAAUGUCUUUGUAAAAUAUCUUAAACUAUAUAUUGUUUAUUUUGCUCAUAGUGGGUUGCAGAUUAAUGAAUUAACGAAUGCUCAAACACCAGUGUAGUACUGUUGUACCCAAGAGCUUGGUUAUUAUUACACUUUUCUCCUAAUAUUAUAAGAAAAAUCUUGGUAUAGUUUAUUUAUUUAAACCGUAUCAUACUGAUAUGACUUUAUAUAAUGAU